RNAcentral lists this ribosomal RNA (253 nucleotides) under uncultured bacterium. RNAcentral's name for it is "partial 16S ribosomal RNA". It matches the Rfam family "Bacterial small subunit ribosomal RNA", at positions 524 to 776 of the family's 1533-position model. The record is from RNAcentral.
UACGUAGGAGGCAAGCGUUGUCCGGAAUUACUGGGCGUAAAGCGCGUGUAGGUGGUGGGACAAGUCUGCUGUGAAAGCGCCUGGCUUAACCGGGCGAGGUCGGCGGAAACUGUCCGACUCGAGGACGGUAGAGGGGGGUGGAAUUCCCGGUGUAGUGGUGAAAUGCGUAGAGAUCGGGAGGAACACCUGUGGCGAAGGCGGCCCCCUGGGCCGGCCCUGACGCUGAGGCGCGAAGGCGUGGGGAGCGAACGGG